UACAGAGGUCUCAAGCGUUGUUCGGAUUCAUUGGGCGUAAAGGGUGCGUAGGCGGCGCUGUAAGUCGGGUGUGAAAUUUCGGAGCUUAACUCCGAAACUGCAUUCGAUACUGCGGUGCUUGAGGACUGGAGAGGAGACUGGAAUUUACGGUGUAGCGGUGAAAUGCGUAGAUAUCGUAAGGAAGACCAGUGGCGAAGGCGGGUCUCUGGACAGUUCCUGACGCUGAGGCACGAAGGUCAGGGGAGCAAACGGG
Molecule: ribosomal RNA, 253 nt
Filed under: uncultured bacterium
Lineage: Bacteria
Description: partial 16S ribosomal RNA
Rfam family: Bacterial small subunit ribosomal RNA
Source: RNAcentral